Molecule: small RNA, 28 nt
Filed under: Bombyx mori (domestic silkworm)
Lineage: Eukaryota; Metazoa; Arthropoda; Insecta; Lepidoptera; Bombycidae
Description: ovarian small RNA-25993
Source: RNAcentral
UCAUAUUAAAGAAUUGGGUGGUACGCAC